Molecule: transfer RNA, 74 nt
Filed under: Pseudogymnoascus verrucosus
Lineage: Eukaryota; Fungi; Ascomycota; Leotiomycetes; Thelebolales; Thelebolaceae
Also listed under: 1 other name
Description: partial tRNA-Gln
Rfam family: tRNA
About the family: Transfer RNA (tRNA) molecules are approximately 80 nucleotides in length. Their secondary structure includes four short double-helical elements and three loops (D, anti-codon, and T loops).
Source: RNAcentral
GGUUCUAUAGUGUAGUUGGUUAUCACAUCGGAUUCUGAUUCCGGGGACCUGAGUUCGAAUCUCGGUAGGACCUG